UAGUGGUUAUAAUAUUUAUUGCAUUUUAUAACAAAUAAUAACAAAUUUAAUAUUAUAUUCAGAUCUGCUUAGGCAUAAAUUAUAGUGUAUACACACACUAACUCACACAAAUAUAGUGUACACAUAAAGCACAUGUAAAUAUAUAGCUAGACUAUGAACACUGGUAGACAAUAUAGCCAUCAUUUAUACAUAACAAAUUACGCAUUAUACAUUUAAUCAUUCUGUCUAAAAUUCAAUAUAUUCUUGUUUAUUUGUAGAAGUAUACAAUAAAAAUUUUACCUGAUGGUUUAAGUAAAGCAUUACUUUUAUAAUGCACUGUUAAUUUUAAUUUUAUUAUCACGUUGAAUUUGAACUUUUUUUCUCAUUUAUAUUCACCCAUAUGAAAAGUGUCCAUAAAUUAAAGUAACGCAACAUAAAUUUAAGAACUCUAUAUAUAUAUGUAUAUAUAGAGUCUAUAAGAAUCUACCAACCAGAUUCUAUAUAUAUAUAUAUAUGACAUUGUUUCUUUAUAAGAAUAUAUUUUACCCUAUCUAAAUUACCGCAAAUCCACAUCUUUUCACAUCUCAGCAUACAUCAUCUAUACCAAUAGCAUACUUUAAACAAAAAUGGGGGUUAAUACAUCAAAAUUAGCAUAUUUGAUUUAGAUUAAUUUAAUAUUAACUAGUGUCAAAAACAACAUGUGCAUGAGUUGAUCAGCAUAUAACUAAUCUAAGAAAGAAAAAAAAAUGACACUAGUGUGAAUAAAUGCAUAUCUUUAAUAAGACUUUGCAGACUUGAAAUAUUGAAAAAAAAAUCAUCUAUACAAUUACUACUUUGUUGGUGUUUUUAAAGACUUUUGAGAAAAUUAUAAAAAAAACAUGCAUUAAACACUUUUUGAGCUAAAAUCUUUCAAUUAAGACACACAGCACAUACUAAAGUACUUAUAUCUAUGUUAAGAAAUUUUUGAAAUCAAAAUAAUAAGUCAAAUUGCUUUAAUAUUUAUCUUCCUAAUUUUGUUACCUAUCAAGGUACUAUAAAUGUACUGUAGCCACUGCACUAUUGUAGUUGUGUUAGUAGAUGAACAAACAUUUACAUGUAGUUAUAUUGAAUAAAACCCUUUUUUAAAUAUAUACCAAAAGAAUUGCAUACUAAUCCUAAAAAAUAUUUAUUGUCAGAACUAAGUAUAUCUUGCUAUAUAUCAAAUUUAAUACUUAAAUACUUUGUUAUAUUUUAAUAAACAUAUUUUCUUGUCAUAUUUAAACUUUCACAUUGUAUGAUCAAAAGAAAAUUAUCAAUAGGAGUCUAGAUCUUACACAAUGAAACCAUUCAAUUACCAUAACAGGCACUAGGAUAUUCAAUCAAGAUUACUUGGUCAAAAUCUUUGUAUGCAACUCUUAUUGACUAUUUUUUGAACACUUGCAGCUAUAUUGCAUGUCAGAGAUACCUGAAUAGGAAUAUUUGAAUUCAAAAACGUAUUGAUAUGAACAAUGAUGACUUUUAUUGCCAUCUUACAACCAUUCAUCAAAAUCUGAUUCUUUUAAUAAAUUAUAUUUUGAAUGAUAUAGUAUUUUAAAGUGAUGGCUGCAUGAUGAUUUAUUAUUGUAAACCAGAAUUCUUUUAAUGAUUUAUUAUUCAGCUAAUAACAUAUUUUAAUAACUAAUUGCCACACUCAUUCCCAUGUCAUUUUUCUUAAAAUGGGCACCUUAGGUACCAUGGGAAAUCUUGGAUAAAGGUGAUUUCAAAAGAGUGAACCUUAAAAGUUAUUAAAGCAUAAAAAUAGGAAAAAUCUAUGAUUUGUAACCUUUCUAGUUGUGAUAUUGGCACAGCAAACAAAAUGAUUUUUAAAUUUACAUGUGUGCGUAUGAAAAAUUAACAUUUAUAUGUAUGAAAAGCAAAAUCAAUACAAGAUGAAAUUUUUACAAAAAGACAAGAUAAAUCAAUUCCAUUAAAUCAAGAUAAUGCCUCAUAAUUUCAAACUAUUAUUUACAUAAAAAGAAAUUAAUGCAUAUUAUAAUCAUAUCCUGAUUCUAAGUAAAUUGUGUGCAUAAACUGAAAUAAAAAAGGGGGGAUUACUAUCACAGAAUAGCUUAUGUAAACAAAAUAACAUCAAACCGGUUUGGUCGGUAACAUAUUAUGCAUAGAAUUGACAACAAAAAAGGCAACCAGAGGAAGUUUUUACAUCUGUAUAUAAGGCUAUAAAUGUCAUUGAAGAAGUUUGUUUAAUCCAAGAAUUUUAAUCAUAGCUAACUUAGAUAUUUGUUUAAAUGUAACUUGCUUCAAAAGUAACAUAUAACUGGGAAUAUAAAUAUUGGCAUUAUCUAUCAUCUCUUGUGACAUUCAAUUAAUAAGGCAAUGAAUCAAUCUAAUGUAUCCAAACCACACACAAAACAGGAAAUAGAAUAUUGCAAUAAACAUAUAGGUAUAUAUAUAAUUAUGGUAUAUAUUAUUUUAGUUGUUAACACAAACCUAUGGGGUUUAGAUUUUAAUCUUGUCCAUAAUUACUUCCUUUAUAUUCAUACCCUUCCAUUAAGUUUCACAAAAAAAACUUGUUGUUUCUUACACAUUCUUUAAACUGUAUGUUAAUUAAUUUUCUCAAUGAAGUAUCACUAACAUGAAAACCCACUAAUAUCUUAACCGAAUGAAUAAAAUGUUAUUAGAAAGUAUUCAGCUAGUAAAAAAAAGGUAUAUUACUCAAG
Molecule: long non-coding RNA, 2675 nt
Filed under: Mytilus galloprovincialis (Mediterranean mussel)
Lineage: Eukaryota; Metazoa; Mollusca; Bivalvia; Mytilida; Mytilidae
Source: RNAcentral